GUAGUCCACGCCGUAAACGAUGUCGACUUGGAGGUUGUUCCCUUGAGGAGUGGCUUCCGGAGCUAACGCGUUAAGUCGACCGCCUGGGGAGUACGGCCGCAAGGUUAAAACUCAAAUGAAUUGACGGGGGCCCGCACAAGCGGUGGAGCAUGUGGUUUAAUUCGAUGCAACGCGAAGAACCUUACCUACUCUUGACAUCCAGAGAACUUAGCAGAGAUGCUUUGGUGCCUUCGGGAACUCUGAGACAGGUGCUGCAUGGCUGUCGUCAGCUCGUGUUGUGAAAUGUUGGGUUAAGUCCCGCAACGAGCGCAACCCUUAUCCUUUGUUGCCAGCGGUUAGGCCGGGAACUCAAAGGAGACUGCCAGUGAUAAACUGGAGGAAGGUGGGGAUGACGUCAAGUCAUCAUGGCCCUUACGAGUAGGGCUACACACGUGCUACAAUGGCGCAUACAAAGAGAAGCGACCUCGCGAGAGCAAGCGGACCUCAUAAAGUGCGUCGUAGUCCGGAUUGGAGUCUGCAACUCGACUCCAUGAAGUCGGAAUCGCUAGUAAUCGUAGAUCAGAAUGCUACGGUGAAUACGUUCCCGGGCCUUGUACACACCGCCCGUCACACCAUGGGGAGUGGGUUGCAAAAGAAGUAGGUAGCUUAACCUUCGGGAGGGCGCUUACCACUUUGUGAUUCAUGACUGGGG
Molecule: ribosomal RNA, 691 nt
Filed under: uncultured Serratia sp.
Lineage: Bacteria; Pseudomonadati; Pseudomonadota; Gammaproteobacteria; Enterobacterales; Yersiniaceae
Description: bacterial SSU rRNA
Rfam family: Bacterial small subunit ribosomal RNA
Source: RNAcentral